Molecule: ribosomal RNA, 496 nt
Filed under: uncultured bacterium
Lineage: Bacteria
Description: partial 16S ribosomal RNA
Rfam family: Bacterial small subunit ribosomal RNA
Source: RNAcentral
GACGAACGCUGGCGGCGUGCCUAAUACAUGCAAGUUGAGCGCUGAAGGUUGGUACUUGUACCAACUGGAUGAGCAGCGAACGGGUGAGUAACGCGUGGGGAAUCUGCCUUUGAGCGGGGGACAACAUUUGGAAACGAAUGCUAAUACCGCAUAAAAACUUUAAACACAAGUUUUAAGUUUGAAAGAUGCAAUUGCAUCACUCAAAGAUGAUCCCGCGUUGUAUUAGCUAGUUGGUGAGGUAAAGGCUCACCAAGGCGAUGAUACAUAGCCGACCUGAGAGGGUGAUCGGCCACAUUGUGACUGAGACACGGCCCAAACUCCUACGGGAGGCAGCAGUAGGGAAUCUUCGGCAAUGGACGAAAGUCUGACCGAGCAACGCCGCGUGAGUGAAGAAGGUUUUCGGAUCGUAAAACUCUGUUGGUAGAGAAGAACGUGGGUGAGAGUGGAAAGCGCAUCAAGUGACGGUAACGACCCAGAAAGGGACGGCGAACUACGG